GGUUAAGCGACUAAGCGUACACGGUGGAUGCCCUGGCAGUCAGAGGCGAUGAAGGGCGUGCUAAUCUGCGAUAAGCGCCGGUAAGGUGAUAUGAACCGUUAUAACCGGCGAUACCCGAAUGGGGAAACCCAGUGUGACUCGUCACACUAUCAUUAACUGAAUCCAUAGGUUAAUGAGGCGAACCGGGGGAACUGAAACAUCUAAGUACCCCGAGGAAAAGAAAUCAACCGAGAUUCCCCCAGUAGCGGCGAGCGAACGGGGAGGAGCCCAGAGCCUGAAUCAGCAUGUGUGUUAGUGGAAGCGUCUGGAAAGACGCGCGAUACAGGGUGACAGCCCCGUACACAAAAGCGU
RNAcentral lists this ribosomal RNA (351 nucleotides) under Salmonella enterica subsp. enterica serovar Agona str. 447967 1-1. Its description in RNAcentral is "bacterial LSU rRNA". It matches the Rfam family "Bacterial large subunit ribosomal RNA", at positions 1 to 388 of the family's 2925-position model. RNAcentral also lists the same sequence under 2 other names. Lineage: Bacteria; Pseudomonadati; Pseudomonadota; Gammaproteobacteria; Enterobacterales; Enterobacteriaceae. The record is from RNAcentral.